CUUUUUUUUUUUUUUUUUUCUUUAAUAUUGUGGUUUUCCUUCAAAAUUAAGCAUGGUGUUUGUUCCUCAACUAGAACAGUAACCUUACUAGUAGCACUUCUGUUACUGAGGAAAUUGUCCCAAUAACAUGAGUGGAGUAUUGAUUUCCAGGGGGAGAUGAGCAGCAGAAAUGAAUGAACCCCUGACAGUAAAAGCUGAAAUUUUCCUCAUGGAAAUGUCAAUGUAAGGCCCCCACAGAUAUCAGGAAAGCUGGAAAUAUUUAUAUGUGUAGAGCAAGCUAAACUAGAUAGAUGAUGAAUUUAAUCCCAAUUUAAUUUGCUGAAAUAGCAAAUAAAGAAGGUGAGACAGGCAAUGGAGAAUGGAGGGAGGUGAAAGGACAAAUGAAAUUACACCUAGUUAAAUAACUAAUCAGAAAGAGCAACCUCUGUCAAUUCUGAGACCUGCAUAAGGCCGGAAAUUACUUUGGAGUGAGAAAGAGUGACAGAAAAGAUAACUAUCACUUCAUGGUGAAAAACAUGAGAAAAGAUCAAUGAGAAGAGGAGAAGCAAGGAAGCUUAGGUUGUGUGUACUUACCAAAAUUAGUAUUUUCCAUUUCCACAGCCUCCAGAUCAGGAAUAUUGAUCCAUCUGUUCAUUCACCUGCUCUUCCUCCUCUUUUUCUGCACCCUUUUUGUUGUGCAAUAGCUGAAGAGCUGGUACCCAACUACAGUCAUGCUGAAGCUCUACUUAGCUCUGAAUUGCUGAUGUGUCCCCACUCUCCAUUUAAAUCCUGCGUGUAAGUGUAAGCAGUUAAAGAUGUUUGUAGUUCUAAAUUAAGGUUGUACCAUUAGCAAAAUGUACCAGCUGCACUUUUUUCAUGCAUUUCUCAUGUACUUGUGUGAUUUUUACUUUCCUUGGUUGGAAAUGUGCUGCUCUUCUACGAGCAGAAUGUUAUACAAAAUGUCACAGGGAGAAGGAAGGUAAUUCAUGCUGGCCAUAGCCACAGCUUCAGACUUACCUGAUGUCCCGCUGGCAGCAGCAAAGUUAGUUUGAUUUCAAGAAAAUGUCACUUAAGGGUUAAUAUUUUCUUCCUACUUCUAUUUAUUGAGAGAAAAAUCUGAAUGCCUAUAUUUUCUGUUACUGAAUACUGACCUUCCAGAUAUUGCUUAAAAUAAAAGGAAUUUUAAAAAUC
Molecule: long non-coding RNA, 1170 nt
Organism: Strigops habroptila (Kakapo)
Lineage: Eukaryota; Metazoa; Chordata; Aves; Psittaciformes; Psittacidae
Source: Ensembl